ACCGUGGUAAUUCUAGAGCUAAUACAUGCUAAAAACCCCAACUCACGAAGGGGUGUAUUUAUUAGAUUAAAAACCAAUGCCCUUCGGGGCUCUUUGGUGAUUCAUAAUAACUUUUCGAAUCGCAUGGCCUUGCGCCGGCGAUGGUUCAUUCAAAUUUCUGCCCUAUCAACUUUCGAUGGCAGGGUCUUGGCCUGCCAUGGUGACAACGGGUAACGGAGGGUUAGGGCUCGACCCCGGAGAAGGAGCCUGAGAAACGGCUACUACAUCCAAGGAAGGCAGCAGGCGCGCAAAUUACCCAAUCCCGACUCGGGGAGGUAGUGACAAUAAAUACUGAUACAGGGCUCUUUUGGGUCUUGUAAUUGGAAUGAGUACAAUUUAAAUCCCUUAACGAGGAACAAUUGGAGGGCAAGUCUGGUGCCAGCAGCCGCGGUAAUUCCAGCUCCAAUAGCGUAUAUUAAAGUUGUUGCAGUUAAAAAGCUCGUAGUUGAACCUUGGGCCUGGCUGGCCGGUCCGCCUCACCGCGUGCACUGGUUCGGCCGGGCCUUUCCCUCUGGGGAACCGCAUGCCCUUCACUGGGUGUGUCGGGGAACCAGGACUUUUACUGUGAAAAAAUUAGAGUGUUCAAAGCAGGCCUAUGCUCGAAUACAUUAGCAUGGAAUAAUAGAAUAGGACGUGUGGUUCUAUUUUGUUGGUUUCUAGGACCGCCGUAAUGAUUAAUAGGGACAGUCGGGGGCGUCAGUAUUCCAUUGUCAGAGGUGAAAUUCUUGGAUUUAUGGAAGACUAACUACUGCGAAAGCAUUCGCCAAGGAUGUUUUCAUUAAUCAGGAACGAAAGUUAGGGGAUCGAAGACGAUCAGAUACCGUCGUAGUCUUAACCAUAAACUAUGCCGACUAGGGAUCGGGCG
Molecule: ribosomal RNA, 904 nt
Filed under: fungal endophyte
Lineage: Eukaryota; Fungi
Description: SSU rRNA
Rfam family: Eukaryotic small subunit ribosomal RNA
Source: RNAcentral